GACGCUGGCGGCGCGCCUAAUGCAUGCAAGUCGAGCGGUUCUUUGGGGGCAACUUCAAAGGAUAGCGGCGAACUGCUGAGUAACCCGUAGGCAACCUACCCUUCGGUGGGGGACAACCUGGGGAAACCCGGGCUAAUACCGCAUGAGAUGUUCUGGCAUAAGCUAGAACCUUAAAGCCGUAAGGCGCCGGAGGAGGGGCYUGCGUCCUAUCAGGUAGUUGGCGGGGUAACGGCCCACCAAGCCGAUGACGGGUAGCUGGUCUGAGAGGACGGCCAGCCAGAGGGGGACUGAGACACGGCCCCCACUCCUACGGGAGGCAGCAGCAGGGGAUCUUGCGCAAUGGGCGAAAGCCUGACGCAGCGACGCCGCGUGGGGGAAGAAGGCCCUCGGGUCGUAAACCCCUUUUGCCGGGGAAGAGGAAGGACGGUACCCGGCGAAUAAGCUCCGGCUAACUACGUGCCAGCAGCCGCGGUAAUACGUAGGGAGCGAGCGUUACCCGGAAUCACUGGGCGUAAAGGGCGUGUAGGCGGCUGAGGAAGUCCUUCGUGAAAUCUCCGGGCUCAACCCGGAGGGGUCGAAGGAUACUUCUCGGCUUGAGGACAGCAGAGGAGGGGUGGAAUUCCCGGGUGUAGCGGUGAUAUGCGUAGAUAUCGGGAGGAACACCAGUGGCGAAGGCGACCCUCUGGGCUGUUUCUGACGCUGAGACGCGAAAGCGUGGGGAGCGAACCGGAUUAGAUACCCGGGUAGUCCACGCCCUAAACGAUGGACGCUAGGUAUGGGGGGUAUCGACCCCCCUCCGUGCCGAAGCUAACGCAUUAAGCGUCCCGCCUGGGGAGUACGGCCGCAAGG
Molecule: ribosomal RNA, 849 nt
Filed under: uncultured Chloroflexota bacterium
Lineage: Bacteria; Bacillati; Chloroflexota
Description: bacterial SSU rRNA
Rfam family: Bacterial small subunit ribosomal RNA
Source: RNAcentral